UCAACAUGGUGACCCUGGCAGGUCACUCUUCCCAGGCUCUGUCUUAGUGUUAUAGGAGAGCAUAGGACUCUGCCCCAUGAUAUACAGGCCCUUUCCACAACAUUAGAAAUGAGACUGGACUGACUGGACUCUCUGUCUGUGCCAGCGCAUUCCUCUGACUUUCCAGAGUCCUGUGGACAAUGACUAAGGAGACAAAGCACGCAGGAAGCAGUC
Molecule: small nucleolar RNA, 213 nt
Organism: Cricetulus griseus (Chinese hamster)
Lineage: Eukaryota; Metazoa; Chordata; Mammalia; Rodentia; Cricetidae
Gene: SNORA73
Rfam family: Small nucleolar RNA SNORA73 family
About the family: U17 (SNORA73A and SNORA73B) also known as E1 belongs to the H/ACA class of small nucleolar RNAs (snoRNAs).
Source: Ensembl